RNAcentral lists this ribosomal RNA (1343 nucleotides) under uncultured bacterium. Its description in RNAcentral is "16S ribosomal RNA". It matches the Rfam family "Bacterial small subunit ribosomal RNA", at positions 28 to 1378 of the family's 1533-position model. The record is from RNAcentral.
GACGAACGCUGGCGGCGUGCUUAACACAUGCAAGUCGAACGGAAAGGCCCUGCUUUUGUGGGGUGCUCGAGUGGCGAACGGGUGAGUAACACGUGAGUAACCUGCCCUUGACUUUGGGAUAACUUCAGGAAACUGGGGCUAAUACCGGAUAGGAGCUCCUGCUGCAUGGUGGGGGUUGGAAAGUUUCGGCGGUUGGGGAUGGACUCGCGGCUUAUCAGCUUGUUGGUGGGGUAGUGGCUUACCAAGGCUUUGACGGGUAGCCGGCCUGAGAGGGUGACCGGCCACAUUGGGACUGAGAUACGGCCCAGACUCCUACGGGAGGCAGCAGUGGGGAAUAUUGCACAAUGGGCGGAAGCCUGAUGCAGCAACGCCGCGUGCGGGAUGACGGCCUUCGGGUUGUAAACCGCUUUCGCCUGUGACGAAGCGUGAGUGACGGUAAUGGGUAAAGAAGCACCGGCUAACUACGUGCCAGCAGCCGCGGUGAUACGUAGGGUGCGAGCGUUGUCCGGAUUUAUUGGGCGUAAAGGGCUCGUAGGUGGUUGAUCGCGUCGGAAGUGUAAUCUUGGGGCUUAACCCUGAGCGUGCUUUCGAUACGGGUUGACUUGAGGAAGGUAGGGGAGAAUGGAAUUCCUGGUGGAGCGGUGGAAUGCGCAGAUAUCAGGAGGGACACCAGUGGCGAAGGCGGUUCUCUGGGCCUUUCCUGACGCUGAGGAGCGAAAGCGUGGGGAGCGAACAGGCUUAGAUACCCUGGUAGUCCACGCUGUAAACGGUGGGUACUAGGUGUGGGGUCCAUUCCACGGGUUCCGUGCCGUAGCUAACGCUUUAAGUACCCCGCCUGGGGAGUACGGCCGCAAGGCUAAAACUCAAAGGAAUUGACGGGGCCCCGCACAAGCGGCGGAGCAUGCGGAUUAAUUCGAUGCAACGCGUAGAACCUUACCCGGGUUUGACAUGGAUCGGGAGCGCUCAGAGAUGGGUGUGCCUCUUUUGGGGUCGGUUCACAGGUGGUGCAUGGCUGUCGUCAGCUCGUGUCGUGAGAUGUUGGGUUAAGUCCCGCAACGAGCGCAACCCUUGUUCACUGUUGCCAGCACGUUAUGGUGGGGACUCAGUGGAGACCGCCGGGGUCAACUCGGAGGAAGGUGGGGAUGACGUCAAGUCAUCAUGCCCCUUAUGUCCAGGGCUUCACGCAUGCUACAAUGGCUGGUACAGAGAGUGGCGAGCCUGUGAGGGUGAGCGAAUCUCGGAAAGCCGGUCUCAGUUCGGAUUGGGGUCUGCAACUCGACCUCAUGAAGUCGGAGUCGCUAGUAAUCGCAGAUCAGCAACGCUGCGGUGAAUACGUUCCCGGG